Long non-coding RNA from Styela clava, 720 nucleotides. RefSeq lists it as uncharacterized. The record is from RefSeq and is a predicted model, not a curated record. Lineage: Eukaryota; Metazoa; Chordata; Ascidiacea; Stolidobranchia; Styelidae.
CUUGUUCUCAUAUUUUGCUGUUUUGUUACGUUUUUUCUGGAAACACCACAAAUGCAGAAUUAUGCAAAGAAAGAAGCAUUACAAACUUUACAAAAUAUUUCAACAUGCUGACAUGUGCAGCAGUUUUGCUGGAAACAACAGAAAUAUGCUACGAAAGAAGCAUUUCAACUUCUCCGAAAAUUUUUAACAUGUGACGCAUUUCUGCUGUAAACACAGAAACAACAAAUAUGCCAAGAAAGAAGCAUUACAACUUUUUCAACAAUGUUCAACAUGUUCUGGAAUAUGGUGGUCGCGGUCUUACUAAUGCAAAAAUAUUUGCUGGGUUAACGGCGUGUUGCAAUUAUUGUUGCGGCUUCCACUUCAUGUACAACAUGACUUUUGUUUGUGCUCAAUACCACAGGCAUGCCAUUUCUGCAAACUGAUAUCUUUAAGACGCAGAAUGCUAUUUGCACCAGCUGAAUCAACAAGAUGUCUUUCAGCAUAUGAAUUUUCUCUGUUUGUUCGAGAUUACCAUGCUAGGCCAUGUGAAAUGUUUGAUGCUGCUGAAUUUCUUAGUAUAAUAUUAUCUAAGGUUUCAGACGACCAAAUUAGGUACCAUAAUGAAGAUGUUAAUACCCUGCAAUCUAUGUGCCUUUCUGAACAAUGUUUCUGUGGUGAAUAUUCUAAUAUCCUCAGUGCAACGAUAUUCAACAUUUUUAAGUUCAACCAAGGAGAAAAACU